Molecule: ribosomal RNA, 1053 nt
Filed under: Salmonella enterica
Lineage: Bacteria; Pseudomonadati; Pseudomonadota; Gammaproteobacteria; Enterobacterales; Enterobacteriaceae
Description: partial 23S ribosomal RNA
Rfam family: Bacterial large subunit ribosomal RNA
Source: RNAcentral
GGGAAACCGAGUCUUAACCGGGCGUUAAGUUGCAGGGUAUAGACCCGAAACCCGGUGAUCUAGCCAUGGGCAGGUUGAAGGUUGGGUAACACUAACUGGAGGACCGAACCGACUAAUGUUGAAAAAUUAGCGGAUGACCUGUGGCUGGGGGUGAAAGGCCAAUCAAACCGGGAGAUAGCUGGUUCUCCCCGAAAGCUAUUUAGGUAGCGCCUCGUGAAUUCAUCUCCGGGGGUAGAGCACUGUUUCGGCUAGGGGGCCAUCCCGGCUUACCAACCCGAUGCAAACUGCGAAUACCGGAGAAUGUUAUCACGGGAGACACACGGCGGGUGCUAACGUCCGUCGUGAAGAGGGAAACAACCCAGACCGCCAGCUAAGGUCCCAAAGUCAUGGUUAAGUGGGAAACGAUGUGGGAAGGCCCAGACAGCCAGGAUGUUGGCUUAGAAGCAGCCAUCAUUUAAAGAAAGCGUAAUAGCUCACUGGUCGAGUCGGCCUGCGCGGAAGAUGUAACGGGGCUAAACCAUGCACCGAAGCUGCGGCAGCGAACGUAUCACCCAAGACAACUUUACGGAGUUGACGAUUGACGGAGCGAAGCGACGUCAAAGCGUUCAUUAAAGUCGAGUUGGCUUAGGGAUACGUUCGUUGGGUAGGGGAGCGUUCUGUAAGCCUGUGAAGGUGUGUCGUGAGGCAUGCUGGAGGUAUCAGAAGUGCGAAUGCUGACAUAAGUAACGAUAAAGCGGGUGAAAAGCCCGCUCGCCGGAAGACCAAGGGUUCCUGUCCAACGUUAAUCGGGGCAGGGUGAGUCGACCCCUAAGGCGAGGCCGAAAGGCGUAGUCGAUGGGAAACGGGUUAAUAUUCCCGUACUUGGUGUUACUGCGAAGGGGGGACGGAGAAGGCUAUGUUGGCCGGGCGACGGUUGUCCCGGUUUAAGCGUGUAGGUGUGUGUUCCAGGUAAAUCCGGUUCACUUUAACACUGAGGCGUGACGACGAGGCACUACGGUGCUGAAGCAACAAAUGCCCUGCUUCCAGGAAAAGCCUCUAAGCAUCAGGUAACAC